RNAcentral lists this long non-coding RNA (1118 nucleotides) under Salmo salar (Atlantic salmon). Its description in RNAcentral is "lncRNA (ENSSSAG00000113210.1)". Lineage: Eukaryota; Metazoa; Chordata; Actinopteri; Salmoniformes; Salmonidae. The record is from RNAcentral.
GAACGCCACAGGAUGUUCUGUUCGAUGCUAAUGCAGAACGCCACAGGAUGUUCUGUUCGAUGCUAAUGCAGAAUGCCACAGGAUGUUCUGUUCGAUGCUAAUGCAGAACGCCACAGGAUGUUCUGUUCGAUGCUAAUGCAGAACGCCACAGGAUGUUCUGUUCGAUGCUAAUGCAGAACGCCACAGGAUGUUCUGUUCGAUGCUACUGCAGAACGCCACAGGAUGUUCUGUUCGAUGCUAAUGCAGAACGCCACAGGAUGUUCUGUUCGAUGCUAAUGCAGAACGCCACAGGAUGUUCUGUUCGAUGCUAAUGCAGAACGCCACAGGAUGUUCUGUUCGAUGCUAAUGCAGAACGCCACAGGAUGUUCUUGUGCUGGUCAAGGACAGUCAGGUCUGGAGAGAACCAAGGGCUAUAUCUGUUCCUGGUUCUACAUUUCUUGAAUGGGGCGUGCUUAUUUAAGAUGGUGAGGAAGGCACUUUUAAAGAAUAACCAGGCAUCCUCUACUGACGGGAUGAGGUCAAUAUCCUUCCAGGAUACCCGGGCCAGGUCGAUUAGAAAGGCCUGCUCGCUGAAGUGUUUUAGGGAGCGUUUGACAGUGAUGAGGGGUGGUCGUUUGACCGCUGACCCAUUAUGAAUGCAGGCAAUGAGGCAGUGAUCGCUGAGAUCUUGGUUGAAAACAGCAGAGGUGUAUUUAGAGGGCAAGUUGGUUAGGGUGCCCGUGUUUACGGAUUUGGGGUUGUACCUGGUGGGUUUAUUGAUCAUUUUUGUGAGAUUAAGGGCAUGAAGCUAAGAUUGUAGGAUGGCCGGGGUGUUAAGCAUGUCACAGUUUAGGUCACCUAGCAGCACGAGCUCUGAAUAUAGAUGGGGGCAAUCAGUUCACAUAUGGUGUCCAGGGCACAGCUGGGGGCAGAGGGAGGUCUAUAACAGCUGGGGGCAGAGGGUGGUCUAUAGCAGCUGGGGGCAGAGGGGGGUCUAUAGCAGCUGGGGGCUGAAGGGGGUCUAUAACAGCUGGGGGCUGAAGGGGGUCUAUAACAGCUGGGGGCAGAGGGGUGGUCUAUAGCAGCUGGGGGCAGAGGGAGGUCUAUAACAGCUGGGGGCAGAGGGUGGUCUAUAACAG